GACGAACGCUGGCGGCGUGCCUAAUACAUGCAAGUCGAACGCUGAAGAGAGGAGCUUGCUCUUCUUGGAUUAGUUGCGAACGGGUGAGUAACGCGUAGGUAACCUGCCUGUUAGCCGGGGAUAACUAUUGGAAACGAUAGCUAAUACCGCAUAACAACAGGUGUUGCAUGACAGCUGUUUAAAAGAUGCAAUUGCAUUACUAUCAGAUGGACCUGCGUUGGAUUAGCUAGGUUGUGAGGUAAAGGCUCACCAAGGCGAACAUACAUAGGCGAACUGAGAGGGGGAACCGCCAACACGGGAACGGGAACAGGCCCAGACCUCCUAGGGAGGCAGCAGUAGGGGAUUCUCGGCAAAGGGGGGAACCCUGAACGAGGAAAGCCGCGUGAGUGAAGAAGGUUUUCGGAUCGUAAAGCUCUGUUGUAAGAGAAGAAAAGGUGUGAGAGUGGAAAGUUCACACUGUGACGGUAUCUUACCAGAAAGGGACGGCUAACUACGUG
Molecule: ribosomal RNA, 497 nt
Filed under: uncultured bacterium
Lineage: Bacteria
Description: partial 16S ribosomal RNA
Rfam family: Bacterial small subunit ribosomal RNA
Source: RNAcentral